AAAUUUAAAUAUAGUUUAUAUUAAAAAAUUAAAAACUUUCUUUAUAUUCUUAUUUAUAAAUUUAUAUUUAAAUAGAAGAAAAAUUUAUUUUUUUUUAAAAAAAAUAAAAUAGAAGUUUUAAAAAUGAUUUUGGCUAAACUUGUGCCAGCCGCCGCGGUUAUACAAGUAAAAUUUUUUUUAAAAAAAUUAAUUAUAAUAAAAUUGUAUUUUUAAUAAUUAAAAAUUUAAUAAGGUGAAAUUUUUUWUUUUUUUAAUCAAAAAUAAUUUGAUUUUAAAAAAAUUUAAUUUUUAAACUAGGAUUAGAUACCCUAUUAUUUUAAGCUUAAUGUUGGUAGUAAGUAAAAUUUAUGAAAUCAUAAAAUUUUGGCGGUAUUUUAAGCUUGUUAGAGGAAUUUGCUCUAUAAUGGAUACAACGCCUAUAUCUUACUUAAUUUUGUAAUUAAAGUCAGUUUGUAUACCACUAUAUUUAAUUAUAUUGAAUAAUUAUAUUUAAGAUUUUUAUAUAAAUAUAUAUUAAGUCAAGGUGCAACAAAUAAUUAUGAGUGAAGUGAAUUACAUUAAUUUUAAUGAUAUUUUGAUACUGAAAAAAAAAGUUAGGAUUUAAUAGUAAAAUAUUAAUAUAAUGAAUAUUUGAAUUAAGCUCUAAAAUAUGCACAUAUCGCCCGUCGCUCUCAGAGGUGAGAUAAGUCGUAACAAAGUAAAAAUACUGGAAAGUGUUUUU
Molecule: non-coding RNA, 721 nt
Filed under: Ixodes ricinus (castor bean tick)
Lineage: Eukaryota; Metazoa; Arthropoda; Arachnida; Ixodida; Ixodidae
Source: RNAcentral